AAUAUUGGACAAUGGGGGCAACCCUGAUCCAGCCAUGCCGCGUGUGUGAAGAAUGUCUUCGGAUUGUAAAGCACUUUACGUUGGGAGGAAGGGCAGUAAGUUAAUCCCUUGCUGUUUUGACGUUACCGACAGAAUAAGCACUGGCUAACUUCGUGCCAGCAGCCGCGGUAAUACGUAGGGUGCAAGCGUUAAUCGGAAUUACUGGGCGUAAAGCGCGCGUAGGUGGUUCAGUAAGAUGGGUGUGAAAUCCCCGGGCUUAACCUGGGAACUGCUUUCAUAACUGCUGAGCUAGAGUACGGUAGAGGGUAGUGGAAUUUCCUGUGUAGCGGUGAAAUGCGUAGAGAUGUGGAGGAACACCAGUGGCGAAGGCGGCUCUUUGGUCUGUAACUGACGCUGAGGCGCGAAAGCGUGGGGAGCAAAC
Molecule: ribosomal RNA, 421 nt
Filed under: uncultured bacterium
Lineage: Bacteria
Description: partial 16S ribosomal RNA
Rfam family: Bacterial small subunit ribosomal RNA
Source: RNAcentral